GAAAUGCGAUAACUAGUGUGAAUUGCAGAAUUCCGUGAAUCAUCGAGUCUUUGAACGCACAUUGCGCCCCCUGGUAUUCCGGGGGGCAUGCCUGUCCGAGCGUCAUUGCUGCCCAUCAAGCACGGCUUGUGUGUUGGGUCGUCGUCCCCUCUCCGGGGGGGACGGGCCCCAAAGGCAGCGGCGGCACCGCGUCCGAUCCUCGAGCGUAUGUGGCUUUGUCACCCGCUCUGUAGGCCCGGCCGGCGCUUGCCGAACGCAAAUCAAUCUUUUUCCAGGUUGACCUCGGAUCAGGUAGGGAUACCCGCUGAACUUAAGC
RNAcentral lists this unclassified non-coding RNA (316 nucleotides) under plant metagenome. Its description in RNAcentral is "partial contains 5.8S ribosomal RNA, internal transcribed spacer 2, and large subunit ribosomal RNA". The stretch from base 1 to 105 matches the Rfam family "5.8S ribosomal RNA", at positions 50 to 154 of the family's 154-position model. The record is from RNAcentral.